This 301-nucleotide ribosomal RNA is filed under the name uncultured bacterium. Its description in RNAcentral is "partial 16S ribosomal RNA". It matches the Rfam family "Bacterial small subunit ribosomal RNA", at positions 509 to 807 of the family's 1533-position model. The record is from RNAcentral.
CAGUCGCCACGGGAAUACGUAGGGUGCAAGCGUUAAUCGGAAUUACUGGGCGUAAAGCGUGCGCAGGCGGUUUGUUAAGACAGAUGUGAAAUCUCCGGGCUCAACCUGGGAACUGCAUUUGUGACUGGCAAGCUAGAGUAUGGCAGAGGGGGGUGGAAUUCCGCGUGUAGCAGUGAAAUGCGUAGAUAUGCGGAGGAACACCGAUGGCGAAGGCAGCCCCCUGGGCCAAUACUGACGCUCAUGCACGAAAGCGUGGGGAGCAAACAGGAUUAGAUACCCCAGUAGUCCCUGUCUCUUAUAC